CAGUCGCCGCGGUAAUACAGAGGGUGCGAGCGUUAAUCGGAUUUACUGGGCGUAAAGCGUGCGUAGGCGGCUUUUUAAGUCGGAUGUAAAAUCCCUGAGCUUAACUUAGGAAUUGCAUUCGAUACUGGGAAGCUAGAGUAUGGGAGAGGAUGGUAGAAUUCCAGGUGUAGCGGUGAAAUGCGUAGAGAUCUGGAGGAAUACCGAUGGCGAAGGCAGCCAUCUGGCCUAAUACUGACGCUGAGGUACGAAAGCAUAGGGAGCAAACAGGAUUAGAUACCCCUGUAGUCCCUGUCUCUUAUAC
Molecule: ribosomal RNA, 301 nt
Filed under: uncultured bacterium
Lineage: Bacteria
Description: partial 16S ribosomal RNA
Rfam family: Bacterial small subunit ribosomal RNA
Source: RNAcentral